UACGUAGGGUGCAAGCGUUGUCCGGAAUUAUUGGGCGUAAAGAGCUCGUAGGCGGUUUGUCGCGUCGGCUGUGAAAGCCCGGGGCUCAACCCCCGGAAGUGCAUUCGAUACUACGUAGCUGGAGUCUUGAAGAGGAGAGCGGAAUUCCCCGGUGUAGAGGUGAAAAUUCGUAGAUAUCGGGAGGAACACCUGUGGCGAAAAGCGGCUCA
This 209-nucleotide ribosomal RNA is filed under the name uncultured bacterium. RNAcentral's name for it is "partial 16S ribosomal RNA". It matches the Rfam family "Bacterial small subunit ribosomal RNA", at positions 524 to 728 of the family's 1533-position model. The record is from RNAcentral.